This is a long non-coding RNA of Phragmites australis (common reed), 436 nucleotides long. RefSeq lists it as uncharacterized. The transcript is spliced from 2 exons. The record is from RefSeq and is a predicted model, not a curated record. Lineage: Eukaryota; Viridiplantae; Streptophyta; Magnoliopsida; Poales; Poaceae.
AAGAACUUGUGUUCUCAGGAAGGAGCAGAAACUGUGAUUUAGUUCAAUAAGUGCAGCAAUCGAUUGUAUUUUUUUCCCUGAUGUGUUAGGCAUAUACUGUACAAGUUCAGCCGCUGAAGCCUUGGCUUGACCAGUGUAGAGGAAUCCCAGGUUGAGUACUUUCGAGAAGCAACUCUUGAGAAAGAGUUUAGGUUUUGCGCAACCUCGUGUGGAAUCUCUGUUGUUUUUAUAGUCGAACUUUUUGGAAAAUAUUUUGUAGGAUAAAUUAGUGCAGCAUCAACAAAGAAGCCAUCUAGCUGCCGUGUAUAUGUUCAAAAGCCAAAAGGCGAUAUAUACAAAGUUUUAAAUCUUCUGAGUAGUUCUCCAGUAAUUGUAGCAAUUUGUAUUCUUUUUUUAGUUCAAAAGCCAAAAGGUGAUAUAUACGAAGUUUUAAAUA